RNAcentral lists this unclassified non-coding RNA (4064 nucleotides) under Megachile rotundata (alfalfa leafcutting bee). RNAcentral's name for it is "uncharacterized LOC100874960, transcript variant X5". The stretch from base 1597 to 1643 matches the Rfam family "Histone 3' UTR stem-loop". Lineage: Eukaryota; Metazoa; Arthropoda; Insecta; Hymenoptera; Megachilidae. The record is from RNAcentral.
GCCUGUCGUCGUUUACACUGUACUAUAAAUUCAAACUUUGGGUAUAGAGACUCGUCUAAAGAACUCUAAUUCGAUGGAUAAUAGAUAAUUCUUAAAAAAUCCGCUAGAGAAAUGAAGUUUACUAAAGUAUGUGCAACGAAUAAAAUGAAUAAUAUGAAUAUCAGAAAAGAUUAAGAUCAAAUAUCCGGACAAUCAAUAAAGGAAAGUGAAGACGUUUUAACCUCAUUCACAGUCGACAUAACCUCUAAUUUUAACUUCACUAACUAUUAUAAUACUGAUUGAAAUUGUGGAGCAUCUGUAAUGCUGAGUGAUGUGCUAGUAUUUUCAUCUAGCUUAUAUAAAUGUUACUUUGCUUUUUAAAUUGUUCUAACAGAGAACAAUUUUGCUGUUGAAUGUUAAUAGCGUGUUAGUACAAUUCUUGCUAACUUGUGGCACAAUAUCUUCUUCCUUUUCUAUCUACAAUUUUGUGACAUACCGAUGUAUAGGUUCACUUUGUCGCAGUUUCUUAGCGCAGUCUCCGUACUUGAUAAUAAGAUCUGUACAUCAAUUGUCAUGUAACAUUUAAUGUUGUAUGGUAGAUUUGAUAGACAUAUCUAUAUUUCAUGCAAUUUUUCUAGACUACAUAGUCCAGAAAAUGUGUUACUUUACGCAAUAUUGUAGUUUCUCUUAUCACAGGUCUUGAGUCUACUUUCGUAUUGCAAUUUGUGCUGUUCCAAGUCUGAUACCUGGUAUUAAAGUUAAAUGAUGUUAAGUUAGUUAAACUUAUAUUAAUUUGACUUCCAGGGAGAGAGAAAAUAAUGUUCUAAUUAGUUCUGAGUUUGUUUUUUAAUAUGUAUGAGAAUUUGUGGUUUUUGAGAUCAGGAAUUAUGUUUAAGCAGGAUUGAUUCAUGAACGGCUAUUCUACCCGCAUGUACAUCUUGUCAUUUGUCAAUUUUGAUCAUGUAAUUUCUAAUCUUUGUGAUAUCUGUGGAGUUAAGAGAUCAGGCUGUGUUAGUAAUAGCGUGCUCUAUACAGGGCACCGAGCGAGUAGCGGCAACGCACCAAUCAGGGAGUGGGAAUUCCAACUCGCAACCUGAUUGGUGGAGCGCGCGCCAUAUCCGAUGUGUAUAAAAGCGAUGCACCGGCUGACCAAAGCAUCAUUUCUCGCCUAGAGUAGGUAGAGAGUUCAUCGCAGUUUCGUUUUAUACAAACUAAGCAAAGAUGUCUGGCCGUGGAAAGGGAGGAAAAAUAAAGGGGAAGGCAAAGUCCCGCUCAAACCGAGCAGGCUUACAAUUCCCCGUUGGUCGUAUUCAUAGACUGCUCCGCAAAGGUAACUACGCAGAACGAGUUGGUGCUGGAGCACCCGUUUAUUUAGCGGCAGUUAUGGAAUAUUUGGCUGCUGAAGUAUUGGAGUUGGCUGGUAAUGCAGCUCGGGAUAAUAAGAAGACCAGAAUCAUUCCACGACAUUUGCAACUUGCAAUCAGGAAUGACGAAGAGCUGAAUAAGCUUUUGUCCGGAGUUACCAUCGCUCAAGGCGGUGUUCUGCCAAAUAUUCAAGCAGUUCUGCUGCCUAAGAAGACCGACAAGAAGGCAUAAUUCAUUCGAUGCAUUCGUUACUCAACGGCCCUUUUUAGGGCCACCAAACUUUUUAAACGAAGCAUAGUCUCGAACAACAAAAUUUAACAUCUCAUCGAAUUUUUGCUAAAUAUUUUUCAAAUUAAUUUCGAUCAUAGGAUGUUUUAGUUUUUUGUCCUCCACUUUUUUUUAUUUUCUGUACUUCAGUUUAUUUAUAAAUCAGAAUUACAUAACUUUGUACAGCAAAUGUGUUCAUAAAAUGUCCUGCACGUAUAGUUACAGAGCACGUAAGAUUCACUUUAAAUAAUUUUUUUCAUUGGUUAUUUUUUUCUAUCAAUAUCAUACUAAUUGUCUUGUUGUUCGAAUCGGAGGCGAACAACUGUUGCCACGAAGGCAGGUUCUUAAACAGACUUACAACGUAAGUAACUUAAACAGUAUUGUUCAUUGUAAACAAUGAAUGCAUCCAUCUUGUGCAGUAUAGCAGCAUAUGAUAAGGUAUCUAUUGACCAUAUGCCGAUACAAAAGAGUUAGCUCAAACGGUAAACUCUGCAGCGGAACAAAAUUUCAUUCUUCAGCAAUGGCGCUGGCGGAACGAGUACUAAAAAUUAUCGUAGUUCAGAGACUGCUUUGUUUAAGAGCACUGAACUCCUUUUGUUAGAAGACUGAAGAGUACGCGAAAUCUACGAAGCCAGAAAGGACGAGGUCAAAUCUGGAACUCGUCAAUGACACCGAUGACCACGCAUAAACGAACCAGGUGUGGAUGGUCGGACGUCGAUGUGCUGGGGGACCGUGAGCAUCCGCUGUCGGCGAAGCGUUACCAGGUGACUCAACCGUUGUAACUCGGUUUCAUAGCGCCGAAAGAAAGGGAAAGUACCCGGGACAUCGAAGCAUGGAGCCCGCCAUGCUCUCAGUCCGCAGAAAGCGAUUGAACGCACGCGAGAAGAAGCGAUCCUCGGCGCCUAUCUGUCUCGCAGUCGCGAAAAUCGCGCUCGAAAUUCGUCGCAUUUCGAGCGACCAGGCUAGCCAAUAUCACAGCCGGUAAAUCUUUGUGUGCCAAAGGGAGAUCGGAGUGUGACUUGGAAAUUGCCUUUGUCCGGAGACGUCUUUCCCCAACGGGCCGUAUCGAUUAAAGGAUAACUCGCUUAAUCUUUGAUGGAUCAUGAUCUCGAACACGGAUCAUCUUCGUAAGAUCGAGCUGUUUCAACGAGUCACGAGUUCAUCGAGGUUCCUGCAUGCCUGAUUUCUUCGGCCAGCGGAAUUCGCGAUGUUGGAUCCAAUCGCGGGAAUAUCGUCGGUAUGGUGGUUGGUGAUGUACGCCAAUAUUUUGCUGCUGCUGUCUCCUCUGGUGCUGCUUUUCAUCGUGUUUCUACCGAAUUUCCCGAUACUGCUGCUCAGAAGGAUGUGUUACAUUCCCAUCGAGUCCAUAUGACGAUCUCUAGCAUCGAUAUUCUGUUAACGAUUAGGACAGUUUUUCGUAGAAAUUAUUGUAAAGAGAAUUAUCGAAGUUUUUCGGUCUAAGGAUAAUAUUGUUAUUCGAAUAAUAGCGAUGGGAGAAAGGAUCUUGAAAGCCUUCGAUAAUUCUAUAACGGUACGGCGACAAUAUUUUACUUCUAUGUAAAUUGCUUGGGUAAUGGAAAUUUUCAUGCUAUAUUGUGCGAUUCUAAGCCGCUGUACCGUUACGGACGAUUAUAAAGGCUUUUAACGUUCGUGCAGAAAGGGUAACUGGACAAUGGCAGCGAUUUGAAUGGUCAGACACAGUAAAUUGUCCGAAUAUACCUGGCGUUUAUGCCGCGUGCGAGUUCAAGGUGUAAUCAAAAUCGUAUUAAAUCAAUUUCGAUGUAGAAUAAUCUUACCGAACAUACGAUCCAUUUGAACUAACUGUAUAGUUACCAUGACACAUUUAGUCAUAUAAGUUUUAAAAGAUAUACGUAGUCUGUUUUCUUUUCCUUCUAUCAUUUAGAUUUAUUUCAUAGAGUCUUGAAUAAAAACGCUCGCUGUCAGACAUCUACGCCAACGUCAAGUAUUUAAUUUGGCAGAACAGAUUUUAUCGAAGCCAAACGUAGCUUGCGUAAAUUUCAAAUUUCUAUUCGCACGUAACCUACCUGUACAAAUUGCACGAGCAUGUAAACUAGAGAACGGUGUUUCGCAAAACGCGAGUUACACUCGUUUACCGUACGGACAGCUCGAAAAUUUUGUGACAGAUCUGCGAAUUUUCGAGGUUCCUAUUGCGUCAGAUUUAUAUAUUCUUCAUGAUCGUUCGGGUCGUGUGCACAGCGAGUUAGAAUAUAUUCUUUAUCAAGUGCGAAGAGACAUAUUUAAAUUUUAAAGUUUGGAGACAUCAAAUAAUUUCACGUUUGAAAUAUAGGUACUUAGAAAAAAAAGAAUUUGGAAAUUCUACGCACAACAAAAUUUACGUGUGAGCUACUCCAGAUUUUAAUAGCUUCGAAAGAGACGGCCGUCAUUCACCGCCCAUUUUUUAUCUUGGACACUUAUUAUGUAAACGAGUGUAC